RNAcentral lists this ribosomal RNA (660 nucleotides) under Triticum aestivum (bread wheat). Its description in RNAcentral is "partial small subunit ribosomal RNA". The record is from RNAcentral. Lineage: Eukaryota; Viridiplantae; Streptophyta; Magnoliopsida; Poales; Poaceae.
AUGUCUCCCUUGCUUCUCCUUCUCCUGGCUCUAGCCAUCCCCCUAGCGCUAGCCACGCCGGGGUCGGCGUCGGGGAUCCAGGAGGACGACGUACGGUGCCUACGCGGCGUCAAGAGCGGUCUCAAGGACCCCGACGGCCGCCUCUCGUCGUGGACCUUCGGCAACACCUCGUCGGGCGCCGUCUGCGACUUCCCCGGAAUCACCUGCUGGAACCCGCAGGAGUCGCGCGUCCUCGGGCUCUCGCUCGCCGGCUUCGGCGUCCAGGGCACCGUCCCCUCCGCGCUCAAAUACUGCCGGUCCACCAACAUUCUCGACCUCUCGAAGAACGCGCUCGAGGGGCCGAUCCCGCCCGCGCUCUGCGACUGGCUCCCCUACCUCGUCGUCCUCGACCUCUCCGGCAACCGCUUCUCCGGGCCGCUCCCCUCCGAGCUCGCCAACUGCCGCUACCUCAACUCCCUCAAGCUCAGCCACAACAACUUCUCCGGCCAGAUCCCCGCGUCUCUCUCGCGGCUGGAACGGCUCAAGACGCUCGACCUCUCUGAGAACCGGCUCGACGGCCAGAUCCCGCCCCAGCUCGGCGCGACAUUCCCCAAGGAGUCCUUCUCCGGGAACCCGGGCCUGUGUGGACGCCCUGUGUCCUCGUACUGCGGCCGCGAUUAG